UCAACCCUCGAACCCCUCCGGGGGGUCGGCGUUGGGGAUCGGCCCCGUCACCGGGUGCCGUCCCCCAAAUACAGUGGCGGCCUCGCCGCAGCCUCUCAUGCGCAGUAGUUUGCACACUCGCACCGGGAGCGCGGCGCGUCCUCGUCCGUAAAACACCCCAAACUUCUGAAAUG
Molecule: ribosomal RNA, 173 nt
Filed under: Trichoderma stromaticum
Lineage: Eukaryota; Fungi; Ascomycota; Sordariomycetes; Hypocreales; Hypocreaceae
Description: 5.8S ribosomal RNA
Source: RNAcentral